Molecule: unclassified non-coding RNA, 799 nt
Filed under: Hevea brasiliensis (rubber tree)
Lineage: Eukaryota; Viridiplantae; Streptophyta; Magnoliopsida; Malpighiales; Euphorbiaceae
Source: RNAcentral
UGAUGUACUCUAUGUUUCCUUUGCAUACAUGGAUGUCUCAAUGGCCAACAAAGGCUAAGGAAUUUUUUGUUGAAUCUUAUUGACAUGAUAGUUGUAUCUAGUGAGCGAUCUCAGCGGUGUAGCAUUUGAAUAAUCACCUAAGUUGGCCUUAGCAAUUUCUGCUGCCAUAGCCAGGGCAAGCAACGAUUGAGAUGAUGAAGCUUUUAUCGCUUCAUAUACUGUUAAAGAAAUGGUGUUUGUGACGUGCAGUUAUUAGUCAUAAAAAGAACAUUUGCACACUGAAUGAUGUAAUUCUGAUGCAAGUGUGAUUUAAUCAAGAAUUGAUGCUUGUAUUUCUUGGUCAACGGUGAUUUAUUGGUAAUCUAGAUCUUAUUCUUCAGGUGCUUGUGCUGAAAUAUUUUAUUGCCUUGUUAAUUCCAAAAUUUGAAUGUAACCAUGGGGCUCAGGGCUUUGUAUACUUAUCUUCAAUGUGUAUACUUUGAUCAAUUUAAGGGAGGGGAUAUGAUAUAUUGGCAAAAGAGGCUGGAUUAUUUGUCUACUUGGAUAGUUGUGGUAAUCUCUAAUGAGAAACAUUUGCAUUCUUUUGCUUAAGCCUUAUCCAGCUAAAUAACAGUCUUAUGAUAAUUUGUAGCUUUAUAGAGGAGUUUUUUUCAGGUCAUGGCCGACUGGUCUUAAUUUCAACUAUAUAAUGUUUAAUAGAUCAUAUGCUGAUAUGUUCUACCAUGUGUGGUUAAAGAGCAAGUUACUGAUAAUACAGGCAGAAUGCCCAAGGUUUAUGCAUGCUUUUGUGGAAACAUCA